AUUGAACGCUGGCGGCAGGCCUAACACAUGCAAGUCGAGCGGAUGAAGGGAGCUUGCUCCUGGAUUCAGCGGCGGACGGGUGAGUAAUGCCUAGGAAUCUGCCUGGUAGUGGGGGAUAACGUCCGGACACGGGCGCUAAUACCGCAUACGUCCUGAGGGAGAAAGUGGGUGAUCUUCGGACCUCACGCUAUCAGAUGAGCCUAGGUCGGAUUAGCUAGUUGGUGGGGUAAAGGCCUACCAAGGCGACGAUCCGUAACUGGUCUGAGAGGAUGAUCAGUCACACUGGAACUGAGACACGGUCCAGACUCCUACGGGAGGCAGCAGUGGGGAAUAUUGGACAAUGGGCGAAAGCCUGAUCCAGCCAUGCCGCGUGUGUGAAGAAGGUCUUCGGAUUGUAAAGCACUUUAAGUUGGGAGGAAGGGCAGUAAGUUAAUACCUUGCUGUUUUGACGUUACCAACAGAAUAAGCACCGGCUAACUUCGUG
Molecule: ribosomal RNA, 484 nt
Filed under: uncultured bacterium
Lineage: Bacteria
Description: partial 16S ribosomal RNA
Rfam family: Bacterial small subunit ribosomal RNA
Source: RNAcentral